UACAUAGGGAGCAAGCGUUAUCCGGAUUUAUUGGGUGUAAAGGGUGCGUAGACGGGAAAUUAAGUUAGUUGUGAAAUCCCUCGGCUUAACUGAGGAACUGCAACUAAAACUGAUUUUCUUGAGUACUGGAGAGGAAAGUGGAAUUCCUAGUGUAGCGGUGAAAUGCGUAGAUAUCGGGAGGAACACCAGUGGCGAAGGCGGCCUACUGGGCACUAACUGACGCUGAGGCUCGAAAGCAUGGGUAGCAAACAGG
Molecule: ribosomal RNA, 253 nt
Filed under: uncultured Eubacteriales bacterium
Lineage: Bacteria; Bacillati; Bacillota; Clostridia; Eubacteriales
Description: uncultured Clostridiales bacterium partial 16S ribosomal RNA
Rfam family: Bacterial small subunit ribosomal RNA
Source: RNAcentral